RNAcentral lists this ribosomal RNA (1372 nucleotides) under uncultured bacterium. Its description in RNAcentral is "bacterial SSU rRNA". It matches the Rfam family "Bacterial small subunit ribosomal RNA", at positions 28 to 1381 of the family's 1533-position model. The record is from RNAcentral.
GAUGAACGCUGGCGGCGUGCCUAAUACAUGCAAGUCGAGCGAACGGACGAGAAGCUUGCUUCUCUGAUGUUAGCGGCGGACGGGUGAGUAACGCGUGGAUAACCUACCUAUAAGACUGGGAUAACUUCGGGAAACCGGAGCUAAUACCGGAUAAUAUUUUGAACCGCAUGGUUCAAAAGUGAAAGACGGUCUUGCUGUCACUUAUAGAUGGAUCCGCGCUGCAUUAGCUAGUUGGUAAGGUAACGGCUUACCAAGGCAACGAUGCAUAGCCGACCUGAGAGGGUGAUCGGCCACACUGGAACUGAGACACGGUCCAGACUCCUACGGGAGGCAGCAGUAGGGAAUCUUCCGCAAUGGGCGAAAGCCUGACGGAGCAACGCCGCGUGAGUGAUGAAGGUCUUCGGAUCGUAAAACUCUGUUAUUAGGGAAGAACAUAUGUGUAAGUAACUGUGCACAUCUUGACGGUACCUAAUCAGAAAGCCACGGCUAACUACGUGCCAGCAGCCGCGGUAAUACGUAGGUGGCAAGCGUUAUCCGGAAUUAUUGGGCGUAAAGCGCGCGUAGGCGGUUUUUUAAGUCUGAUGUGAAAGCCCGCGGCUCAACCGUGGAGGGUCAUUGGAAACUGGAAAACUUGAGUGCAGAAGAGGAAAGUGGAAUUCCAUGUGUAGCGGUGAAAUGCGCAGAGAUAUGGAGGAACACCAGUGGCGAAGGCGACUUUCUGGUCUGUAACUGACGCUGAUGUGCGAAAGCGUGGGGAUCAAACAGGAUUAGAUACCCUGGUAGUCCACGCCGUAAACGAUGAGUGCUAAGUGUUAGGGGGUUUCCGCCCCUUAGUGCUGCAGCUAACGCAUUAAGCACUCCGCCUGGGGAGUACGACCGCAAGGUUGAAACUCAAAGGAAUUGACGGGGACCCGCACAAGCGGUGGAGCAUGUGGUUUAAUUCGAAGCAACGCGAAGAACCUUACCAAAUCUUGACAUCCUUUGACAACUCUAGAGAUAGAGCUUUCCCCUUCGGGGGACAAAGUGACAGGUGGUGCAUGGUUGUCGUCAGCUCGUGUCGUGAGAUGUUGGGUUAAGUCCCGCAACGAGCGCAACCCUUAAGCUUAGUUGCCAUCAUUAAGUUGGGCACUCUAAGUUGACUGCCGGUGACAAACCGGAGGAAGGUGGGGAUGACGUCAAAUCAUCAUGCCCCUUAUGAUUUGGGCUACACACGUGCUACAAUGGACAAUACAAAGGGCAGCGAAACCGUGAGGUCAAGCAAAUCCCAUAAAGUUGUUCUCAGUUCGGAUUGUAGUCUGCAACUCGACUACAUGAAGCUGGAAUCGCUAGUAAUCGUAGAUCAGCAUGCUACGGUGAAUACGUUCCCGGGUCU